UUAUGCCUGGCUCCCUGUAUGCCACAAGCGGAAGCUCAAUCUGGUUCUAGAUUGGCUACUGCGGGUGGCGUACGAGGAGCCAAGCAUAC
MicroRNA precursor from Prunus persica (peach), 89 nucleotides. It matches the Rfam family "mir-160 microRNA precursor family". From Rfam's summary of the family: The hairpin precursors (represented here) are predicted based on base pairing and cross-species conservation -- their extents are not known. In this case the mature sequence is excised from the 5' arm of the hairpin. The record is from Rfam. NCBI's taxonomy places the organism in Eukaryota, Viridiplantae, Streptophyta, Magnoliopsida, Rosales, Rosaceae.